GAAAUGCGAUAAGUAAUGUGAAUUGCAGAAUUCAGUGAAUCAUCGAAUCUUUGAACGCACAUUGCGCCCGCCAGUAUUCUGGCGGGCAUGCCUGUUCGAGCGUCAUUUCAACCAUCAAACCCCGCGCUUGUGUUGGGGACCUGCGGCUGCCGCAGGCCCUGAAAACCAGUGGCGGGCUCGCUGUCACACCGGGCGUAGUAGAUUUUAUCUCGCUCAGGGCGUGCUGCGGGUUCCGGCCGUUAAAAAGCCUUUUUUACCCAAGGUUGACCUCGGAUCAGGUAGGAAGACCCGCUGAACUUAAGC
Molecule: unclassified non-coding RNA, 303 nt
Filed under: plant metagenome
Description: partial contains 5.8S ribosomal RNA, internal transcribed spacer 2, and large subunit ribosomal RNA
Rfam family: 5.8S ribosomal RNA (bases 1-105)
Source: RNAcentral